This 459-nucleotide ribosomal RNA is filed under the name uncultured bacterium. RNAcentral describes it as "partial 16S ribosomal RNA". It matches the Rfam family "Bacterial small subunit ribosomal RNA", at positions 338 to 795 of the family's 1533-position model. The record is from RNAcentral.
UCUACGUGAGGCAGCAGUGAGGAAUAUUGGUCAAUGGGAGAGAUCCUGAACCAGCCAAGCCGCGUGAGGGAAGACGGCCCUAUGGGUUGUAAACCUCUUUUGUCGGAGAACAAAACCCGGGACGUGUCCCGGACUUCGUGUAUCCGAAGAAAAAGCAUCGGCUAACUCCGUGCCAGCAGCCGCGGUAAUACGGAGGAUGAGAGCGUUAGCCGGAUUUCUUGGGUGUAAAGGGUGAGUAGGCGGUCCGUUAAGUCAGCGGGAAAAUUGCGGGGAUCCACCCCGUCGAGCCGUUGAAAAUGGCGGACUUGAGUUGGCGAGAAGUACGCGGAAUGCGCGGUGUAGCGGUGAAAUGCAUAGAUAUCGCGCAGAACUCCGAUGGCGAAGGCAGCGUACCGGCGCCAGACUGACGCUGAGGCACGAAAGCGUGGGGAUCGAACAGGAUUAGAUACCCCUGUAGUC